AUAGGACCCGCGCUUCGCGGCAGGUAGAUAAUAUUUCAGUAAAUUUUUAUAUAUAAUUUUUAAAAUUUUAAAUUGAAAAAAUUUAUAAUGAAAAAUAUAAAACAAACUUAUAUAUCUUUUAUAUAUUAUAAAAGCUAUUUUUUAUUAAUAUUUUUAGCUUUCAGUAUUUGUAAAGUUAAAGUAUUCCAAUAACUUUAUUUAUUUUAAAAUUAAAAAAAAUUAUAAUGCAAAAUAUAAAACAAACUUAUAUAUCCAUUAUAUAUUAUAAAAACUAAUUUUUAUUAAUAUUUUUAGCUUUCAGUAUUUGUAGAUGUUGGUAGCCGAAAUCUACAAUCCCUAACCCUGUCAAAGAUCUUCCUCGGGAAGUGCGUAGGGAUGCGAAACAGCUGCGAAUAGUGACCCUUAAAAUUUGCGCCCUUCGAUUGAUCAGGCAAUUCGGCUGACGAGGGAUCGGGUCAGCCGGGUUCGAAACCUCUACAGUAAAUUCGGUUCGGCUGGAUGAGCCGAAUGAACAAGAGAAGUCAGAAUUUCAAUCAAGGAAUGAGUCGAAUGGCUAAUACAGCACAGGAACUGGUCGGCCCGAAGAGCCGAACACUGCCUUCUAUUGAAAGAGAACGGAGAAAGUACAGGAAAGCGGGUUUUUGUCAACAGCGGAGUGAUGCCCAAAGGGCAGACAGACUCCAGGAUGCUAAGUUACAGGAACUACUCCUAGAGAAAGCAGUAAAUACGAGAAAGAAAGAUGCAGGAAAAUAAGGAUGGUCUUUUUGUGCGCAAGAGCAAAGACCUCUUUUCAGGGUAUUAUUAUCCUAUUUAUAGAUAACCCCCUCGGUCAGUUAUUGCUCUUACACGAUCGGCCACUAUCUCCUCAUAUUCCGGACCACAUCUAGCCGAUCGAAAACGCAUGUAACUGCUUGCGGUUACCGUAACUUCCUUCAAUUGGCGCGAUUUGUUUUUCUUUACACUUUUCCGGUGCUCCCGGUGCACGACCAAAUAGAUACUUUUGAAGGGAAUACCAGCACCGAUCUUGUCCGCGCCUAAUUGUCUCAACAGUAGAGUUAAAGUAUUCUAAUAACUUUAUUUUGAAAUUCAAUCAAACUUAAUAAUUUUUGUAGCUCUUUUAGCACGAUGGGGAGAGAGCAAAAAAAAUAAAAAAAGAAAGUAACCGAGAGAGAAAGUGAGAGAGAAGGAAAAAAGUAAAAAAUGAAAGUAAGAGAGAGAGAGUAAAAAAUGAAAGUAAGAGAGGGAGAGAGAGAUAGAGAGAGAGGGAAAACAAAAUAUUCUAUUUUUAUUUUUUUUGCUCUUUGCCCAUCGCGCUAAAAUAGCUAUUAAAAUUAUUAAGUUUGUUAAAUUUUUAAAUAAAGUUAUUAGAAUACUUUAACUUUACAAAUACUGAGAAAGCUAUCUUUUUAUUAAUAUUUUUAGCUUUCAGUAUUUUUAGAUAAAUUAUUCUAAUAACUUUAUUUAAAAAUUCAAUCAAACUUAAUAAUUUCAAUAGCAAUUUUAGCGCGAUGGAAAAAGAUAAAAAAAAUAAAAAAGAAAGUAAGAGAGGGAGAGCGAGAGUGAGGGACAGAAAAAAAAAAAAGAAAAAAGUGGGUCCCACCAAAACCCCCCAAAAGCGGGGAGGCUUCGGUUCAACCCAACUUUCAUUAUAUUAACUAGUGAAGACCGCACGUUGCGGCGGGAUGAUUUCGUAAAAAUAAAUAAAUAAAUAAAUAAAUAAGUUAAGAAAGUAAAAAAAGAGUCAAAGAAUUAUAUGAAAAAAAAAAGCAACUAGAGAAAAAGUAACUAUUGCUGCAAUAAAAAUAUAAAAAUAAAUUAUAGAAAGAACUAAAAAAAAAUAAGGACUAAAACUAUACGAAUUUGUUAUCUUGACUAGUAAAACAU
This 1884-nucleotide long non-coding RNA is filed under the name Ananas comosus (pineapple). RNAcentral describes it as "long non-coding RNA (ACOM_LNC013833)". The record is from RNAcentral. Lineage: Eukaryota; Viridiplantae; Streptophyta; Magnoliopsida; Poales; Bromeliaceae.